CGCGAAGAACCUUACCUGGUCUUGACAUCCACAGAACAUUCCAGAGAUGGGAUGGUGCCUUCGGRAACUGUGAGACAGGUGCUGCAUGGCUGUCGUCAGCUCGUGUUGUGAAAUGUUGGGUUAAGUCCCGCAACGAGCGCAACCCUUAUCCUUUGUUGCCAGNGGUCCGGCCGGGAACUCAAAGGAGACUGCCAGUGAUAAACUGGAGGAAGGUGGGGAUGACGUCAAGUCNUCAUGGCCCUUACNACCAGGGCUACACACGUGCUACAAUGGCGCAUACAAAGAGAAGCGACCUCGCGAGAGCAAGCGGACCUCAUAAAGUGCGUCGUAGUCCGGAUUGGAGUCUGCAACUCGACUCCAUGAAGUCGGAAUCGCUAGUAAUCGUGGAUCANAAUGCCACGGUGAAUACNUUCCCGGGUCUUGUACACACC
RNAcentral lists this ribosomal RNA (431 nucleotides) under uncultured bacterium. RNAcentral's name for it is "bacterial SSU rRNA". It matches the Rfam family "Bacterial small subunit ribosomal RNA", at positions 960 to 1391 of the family's 1533-position model. The record is from RNAcentral.